Molecule: RNA transcript, 3788 nt
Organism: Triticum aestivum (bread wheat)
Lineage: Eukaryota; Viridiplantae; Streptophyta; Magnoliopsida; Poales; Poaceae
Gene name: structural maintenance of chromosomes protein 5
Exons: 29
Source: RefSeq, a predicted model, not a curated record
CCACCUCAUCCCGCCCAGCAACCACAAACCCCAAAGCCCAAAGCCCUAGCACCGAGGCCAUUCCCCUCCGGCCGCCGACCCGCCGGCGAUGGCGCCCGCCCGGGCCGCCAAGCGCCCCAAGCUGGAGCGCCCCGCCGCCUCCGCCUCCGCCUCCACCUCCGCCGCGCCCCAUCAGCGGGGCGACGACGACUACGUGCCGGGCAACAUCGUGGAGAUCGAGCUGUGCAACUUCAUGACCUACGACCGCCUCGUCUGCCGCCCCGGCCCGCGCCUCAACCUCGUCGUCGGCCCCAACGGCUCCGGCAAGAGCUCCCUCGUCUGCGCCAUCGCGCUCGCCCUCGCCGCCGACCCCGCCAUCCUCGGCCGGGCCGCCAGCGUCAGGGCCUUCGUCAAGCGAGGGGAGGAGUCCGGCCACGUCCGCCUCUCCCUCCGCUCCGAGGACCAGGGCCGCGACAUCGACAUCACCCGCAAGAUCGACACCAACAACAAGUCCGAGUGGCUACUCGACGGUGCCACCGUCCCCAAGAAGGAUAUCAUCGACGUCAUCAAGAAGUUCAACAUCCAAAUCAACAACCUCACUCAGUUCUUGCCCCAAGAUCGUGUGUGCGAGUUUGCAAAGCUCACCCCCAUCCAGCUGCUAGAAGAGACCGAGAAGGCCGUGGGCGAUCCCAAUUUACCUGUUCAGCAUCGCCAGCUUAUAGAAUGGAGCAAGGAGCUCAGGAAUCUUGAAGUGGCCGUAAAGCAAAAGGAGCAGACCUUGAACAACCUCAAGGCCCUCAACGCCGAACAAGAAAAAGAUGUCCAACGUGUCCGCCAAAGAGAUAAGCUCCUCAAGAAGGCUGAGCUAAUGAAGAAGAAGUUGCCCUGGCUCAAAUACGACGCGAAGAAGGAGCAAUUCCAGAAGGUACAGGAUGAGGAGAAAAUUUUCAAGAAGAAAAUGGAUGAUGCAGCCAAGAUCUGGCAAGAUGCAAAAGCCCCUAUCGAAGGGCUCAAGAAAGAGAAAACGACAAUUACUUCAAGUAUGAAGAAGAUAACCAACCAAAUAAAUCAAAACACAAACAAGCGUCGGGAAGUUACAGACGACGAGAUUCAGCUGAGUGCACGAUUGAAAACCACGCUUGAUGACAUAGAAUAUCUGAAAAGGCAUGAAAAGAAUCUGCAACAAAAGAUCUCAAAGGCUAAGGAAGGUCUUGCUGCUGCUGAAAGGGAAUUUCAAGAUCUACAACCAUAUGAACCACCUAGAGAUGAAAUGACACAACUAACAAAUGAUAUUGGACAUAAAAUUUGUGGCAUAAACGAUCUAAAACUCAAACGGAAAGAGAAGGAGUGGCAGUUAUCACAAGAGAGAGAAAAUCUUAGGAAGUGUUCCGACAGGUUGAUGCAAAUGGAAAGUAAGAACAAUAAGUUACUCCAAGCAUUGCAAAGAGCUGGUGCUGAAAGAAUCAAUGAAGCAUACUCUUGGGUGCAGAACAACAAAAAUAUGUUCAGGGGAGAAGUUUAUGGGCCUGUUCUGCUUGAGGUCAAUGUUCAGAGUAAAACUCACGCUGGUUACUUGGAAAGCCAUGUUCCGAACUAUAUAUGGAGGUCAUUCAUUACACAGAAUGCUUCCGACCGUGACCUCUUGGUUAGACAACUGAAGCAAUAUGGUACUCCUAUUCUCAACUACACAGGGGCCAAUAGCAUCAUGGGUGAGCCAUUGAACAUUACCCCAGAGAUGAAGCAACUUGGGAUCACAUCAAGACUCGAUCAAGAAUUUGAUGCUCCUCCUGCUGUAAAAAAUGUUUUGAUUACUCAGGCUUCAGUGGAUCAAUCGUAUAUAGGUACAAAUCAAGCGGAUCAAAGCGCAGAUGAUGUGGUAAAGUUAGGUAUUAAUGACCUUUGGACUCCACGUAACCAUUAUCGAUGGACCAGAUCAAGAUAUGGUGGCUAUUUGUCAGCAAAUGUAGAUUCAAUCUACCCGUCGCGCCUCUUCAUGUGCGACGUGAAUGUUAGUGACAUUGAAAUGCUUCGAUCUGAGAAGGAUGAACAUACAAGAAAUGUUGAGGGCAUGGAGGAAGCCUUAAAAGAGCUCCAGAAAGAGCAGAGAAAAUUAGAAGAUGAAGAGGCAGAAUUCCGCAAGAAAAAGGAAGCGAUUACUGACAGGGUGAGGCUUGAAAAGAAGAAGCGAGAAGACAUACAAAGGCGUAUCGAUUUGAAAAGAAGAACUCUGGAGGACAUAUCAAAAGAGGAAGAUGUGGAGUCCAGCACAAGAAAGCUUACUGAUAAGCUAGCUAAGUUAAAUGAUGAUCGAUUUCGAGCAUUGCUAAAACUCAAGAAUUUACUUGUUGAAGCUGUUGCUCUCAAAUGGAGUUAUACAGAAAAGAACAUGGCUUCUAUUGAGCUUGAUACAAAGAUAUGGGAGAUGGAAAAGGAUGUGAAGAAACACGAAAAGGAUGUUCUUAGUGCUUCCAGAGACUAUGAAAACUGUAAAAGAAUCACUCAAGAGCAUAAGCAGCUGGUGCUUAAGGCAAAACAGCAUGCGGAGUCAGUAUCUAUGAUCACGGACAACCUUGCAAAAGAGUUUGAGAAGAUGCCGACCACCAUAGAGGAAUUGGAACUUGCAAUACAAGAUACUGAAUCAGAAGCAAAUUCUAUGCUAUUCCUCAACCAAAAUGUUUUGCAGGAGUAUCAAAACCGGCAACGUGAGAUUGAAUCAAUAUCAACAAAACUGGAAGAUGAUAAAGCAGAAUGUGAGAGGUGCUGCUCUGAAAUAGAAACUACAAAGGGUAAAUGGCUUCCAACUCUCCGAAGUCUUGUUUUAAAAAUAAAUGAUACCUUUAGUCGCAACUUCCAAGAAAUGGCUGUUGCUGGAGAAGUUUCACUUGAUGAGCAUGGUCUUGAUUUUAGUCAAUACGGUAUUCUUAUAAAGGUGAAGUUUAGGCAAACUGGUGAGCUGCAGGUGCUAAGUGCUCAUCACCAAUCUGGAGGGGAGCGGUCAGUUUCCACGAUCCUGUAUCUUGUAUCGCUCCAAGACCUGACCAACUGCCCAUUUAGGGUGGUUGAUGAGAUAAACCAAGGAAUGGAUCCGGUAAACGAGAGGAAGAUGUUCCAGCAGCUUGUGAGGGCGGCGAGCCAACUCAACACACCACAGUGCUUCCUGCUGACACCCAAGUUGCUGCCUGAUUUGGAAUAUAGCGACGCGUGCAGCAUCUUGAACAUCAUGAACGGUCCCUGGAUUGAGAAACCAGCCCAUGCUUGGCGCGCGGGAGAUAGUUGGAGAACGGUCAUUGGCCUGGGGCUGGCUGGGAACUGAAUUGAUUGACCCACCACUUGGAAGCUGCUGUCUGCUGCCUGCUGCCUGCUUUUGGGAUGUAAAUAUAGCUAGCUAGCUAGCUGAUUGCAUAGCUUUAUUAUUAUCAUUAUCCACAAUCGGAGUACUUAUUAAGUUAGUAGUAAUUCAGUUGAGUAUACUAGUCCCUCCGUUCACUUUUGUAAGUCAUUUCAGACAACUAAAAAUAGACUGAUUUGCACAUUGUCUGAAAUGUCUUCAAAGCCUUAUAAAAGUGAACAGAGGGAGUAGUAUUUAUCAGCAGUUGGUAAUUGGGUCGGUGUGAAUAGUUAAAUUAGGGGGGCUGUAAUCGGAGCAGGUAAGGAUGAUGUAUCUGAGACUAAACUUUUAUCCUUUUCAUUGACACAAGUUGUAGUAUCAACUAACUAGUUUGAGUUUGAGUUUGACUCUUGCUCUCUUCUUCUGCUUGUGCAAUAUUAUUAUUAUUAUUAUUUAAUAUUAUUAUUAUAAGAAGAAGCUA